This 93-nucleotide microRNA precursor is filed under the name Marmota monax (woodchuck). The record is from RNAcentral. Lineage: Eukaryota; Metazoa; Chordata; Mammalia; Rodentia; Sciuridae.
AGUGGAAUUGCUAGGUUAUAAGAUAAGUGUGUUUAAGAAAUUAUCAAAUUAUUUUCCAAAGUGUCUGUUCCAUUUUACGUAACCACAAGCAAU